This 367-nucleotide unclassified non-coding RNA is filed under the name Hevea brasiliensis (rubber tree). The record is from RNAcentral. Lineage: Eukaryota; Viridiplantae; Streptophyta; Magnoliopsida; Malpighiales; Euphorbiaceae.
GCACGAACCAAUUCAGGUUCUUGGACAAGGCAAUGAUAAUUGACAACAUUGAUGCUUCAAACAAUACCAGAAAUCCAUGGCGGCUCUGCACCCUAAAUCAAGUGGAAGAAGUGAAGUUAGUCCUUCGCUUGAUCCCCAUAUGGUUAAGCUGCUUAAUGUUCACAGCCAUAAUAGUUCAAACCCACACAUUUUUCACCAAGCAGGGCAGUACAAUGAUCAGAACAAUAGGACCAAACUUCCAGCUUCCUCCAGCCUCACUUCAAUCCCUUAUAGGCAUCACAAUCCUCAUCGCCGUCCCAAUAUACGACCGAUUUUUUGUCCCGAUAGCAAGAAAAAUAACAGGACACCCUUCUGGCAUAACCAUGCU